RNAcentral lists this ribosomal RNA (484 nucleotides) under uncultured bacterium. RNAcentral describes it as "partial 16S ribosomal RNA". It matches the Rfam family "Bacterial small subunit ribosomal RNA", at positions 30 to 507 of the family's 1533-position model. The record is from RNAcentral.
AUUGAACGCUGGCGGAAUGCUUUACACAUGCAAGUCGAACGGCAGCACGGGGGCAGCCCUGGUGGCGAGUGGCGAACGGGUGAGUAAUACAUCGGAACGUGCCCGGUCGUGGGGGAUAACGUAGCGAAAGUUACGCUAAUACCGCAUACGAUCUGAGGAUGAAAGCGGGGGACCUUCGGGCCUCGCGCGAUCGGAGCGGCCGAUGUCAGAUUAGGUAGUUGGUGGGGUAAAGGCCUACCAAGCCGACGAUCUGUAGCUGGUCUGAGAGGACGACCAGCCACACUGGGACCGAGACACGGCCCAGACUCCUACGGGAGGCAGCAGUGGGGAAUUUUGGACAAUGGGCGCAAGCCUGAUCCAGCCAUUCCGCGUGCAGGACGAAGGCCUUCGGGUUGUAAACUGCUUUUGUACGGAACGAAAAGGCUCUGGCUAAUACCUGGGGCUCAUGACGGUACCGUAAGAAUAAGCACCGGCUAACUACGUG